AUGGCCGCGCAGAUGCUCCGCCGGUGGAACAGCUUCUACGGCGCCUUCGACCCCUUGGACGCCGCCAUCGAGGCCGCCGACCCAGACCAAUUUUCCCGCCACGUGUUCCAGCGCGCGAGGGGGGACCUGCUGGUAGGGCUCUGCAACGCCGCCGACGAGGACCAGGCGGAGCGUAUCUGCGGGAUUCUCGACGACCUCAUGGCAGAGUCUCUCGAGACGCUCAGGGUGGUCCCAUCAACUCCGGGGGUGCCCAUCCCCACGAAACUCGCCGAGUCUGUGCGCGCGCUGCGGGAGCACGACUCGGAGCGCGUCCGCCUCCUCGCGCGCGGCAUCGUGAGCGGGUGGGAGGCCUCCGUCCAGGAGGACGUCGCCGAGGUCACAGCAGCCAUGCCCAUGAAGAAGAAGGUGGAGAACGUGCCGCAGCCCAAGGCGACCGUCGGCCAGCAGCAGCAGCAGCAGCAGCGUGGCUCCGCCGACCCUGACGCGGAGACGAAGCGACCUCCCAAGAUCGUCAGCGAGCCGUUGCCCAAGAAGAUGGCUGAAAUCAUCAAAAAGGCAUCCGAUCCUGCCGCCGGCUUCGUCGACGGUGACCGUGCCCGGCUCUGCUCGGAGGAGAAGAUGGAAGCCGCGAAGCGCAAGCUCCGCCAAGGUUACCAGGAAGCAGCGGGCGCCAAACGGAGGCGCAAGACGCAGUUGGUGCAGGCGCCCAAGAUGAUGCAGCCAAUCAGGAGGUGCACCAGCUCCAUGGUCAAGAAGACCUUCGCGGUCAGGACGCAGCUUCACGUGUGUAGCUCUGGUCAAGAAGACAGUUGA
RNAcentral lists this ribosomal RNA (813 nucleotides) under Triticum aestivum (bread wheat). Its description in RNAcentral is "partial small subunit ribosomal RNA". Lineage: Eukaryota; Viridiplantae; Streptophyta; Magnoliopsida; Poales; Poaceae. The record is from RNAcentral.